This 839-nucleotide long non-coding RNA is filed under the name Marmota monax (woodchuck). The record is from RNAcentral. Lineage: Eukaryota; Metazoa; Chordata; Mammalia; Rodentia; Sciuridae.
GUUGUGUCCACUGAAAACUGAAAAAUAAAUAUUAAAAAAUUCUCUCUCUCUCUUUCUCUCUCUCUCUCUUUAAGAGAAAAAAGGAAAAGAAACCUAACCCUCACUGUGGUGGUAUUAAGAGAUGGAGGUCUUUAGGAGGUGAUUGGACUGUAAGGGCUCCACCAUCGUGAGUGGAAUUAAUGUUCUUAUGGGAUAUAAAUUUAUUAUUAUUAUUAUUUGCCCCUUUUACCAUAAGAGGACACAGUAAGAAGCAAUCAAAGAAGCAGAGAGCCUUCACCAAUCAGUUAAUGUCUUGAUUGUCGACUUUCCAGCCUCUAGAACUGUGACAUAUUUCUGUUGUUCAUAAAUUACCUAAUGUAAGUUAUUUUCUUAUAGCAGCAGAAAUAGACAAAGACAAUAUGAAGACAAGAUGUCAACUUGACAAUAUUUCCUGGGACUGACCUUGAUGUAAGUCACCUCAGAUCUCUUGUCUGAUUUUCACACCAUGGUGUGAGUGUGCGUGCCCAGCAGCUUUGCUUUGAUGACAGUCUAUAAUCUCACCAAACUACUCAAAAUUUCCAAACAUGCUAGAGUCUUCUACAGCUUUGUAUCUAUGCUCCUGUUCUUCCUGUGAAGGAAGUGUGAAAGUUGUGCGAAUCAAAAUGGAAUCCCUUGUGUCAACCCCUCCAAAGGACAUAAAUAAAUAAAUAAAUAAACUGGGAAGUUAAAAAGAAAGGAUUCUUACCAAAGAUUUCCUGAUAGUAACUUUCAAAAAGGUGGCCAGAACCACAUGCUUGCACAGAGGCCACAACUUUAUACAAAUAUACUUCUACGAGGACAUCUGUCUAGCAACUUAUCUC